UCAGGAAAUCACCUGGGAGAUCAGCCAUUAACAAAAUGGCCCAUUACCUACCGUUUGUAUUUUGUUAAUGGCUGAUCUCCCAGGUGAUUUCCUGA
Podarcis lilfordi (Lilford's wall lizard) is the source of this 95-nucleotide non-coding RNA. NCBI's taxonomy places the organism in Eukaryota, Metazoa, Chordata, Lepidosauria, Squamata, Lacertidae. The record is from the annotation of a GenBank genome assembly.